This is a non-coding RNA of Pimephales promelas (fathead minnow), 1509 nucleotides long. Lineage: Eukaryota; Metazoa; Chordata; Actinopteri; Cypriniformes; Leuciscidae. The record is from RefSeq and is a predicted model, not a curated record.
GUAGACAGUAUGAUGACCACACUCUUUUUUAUUAAUAGAUCGCUAAACAGCCGAGGGUCAAGGACAGCUUGAAGACGUUGAUAGCGUAUGUAUUGGUGUGAUUCAAUCGAUUUGACAGAUGAGAGACAUGGGCUGUCUUUAUUUAAGAUGCAUCGCCUAUAACAAGCCUGCGGUAUCACCAACAAGGUCAUUACUGGCGUUUUCACUAACCGGUGUCGUGUCUUCAACUGUUAAACGUUUGUGAGACGAGAAAGGUGCGGUUUAAAAACGACAGUUGAUUUACUUGUCAUGGUUAAGGUGAAGCCAACUGAAAUUGCGUGGAAGCGAUCAUAUUUUUGAGCUUAUAAAUCGCGUUUGGUGUGAAGAUAGGCGCUGCCACUCUCUCGCGCGACAAACAGACGCUUCUUCCACUCACGACGCGUGACCACACACACAUAUCUGUCUUUUCUUCCUGGAUACUCAGAUGAUGCUAUCGAAAUCUGCAAGUUACGCUGAAUUGCAUUUUUGCUACACCAACAUGGGAAUGCAGUAACUGGAAAUAGUUCCGAAUUGAUUUUUUUCAGUAGGCUACGUUUGCUCAGCUUGAAACAGACUUUAUUUUAUUUUUUCAACAUGAUAGACGAGAGAAUCAUUUGGAGGAACUUUUUCACGCCCACACCUGACGAUUUGCCUCGACUUUUUCAGAAUGGGUCAACUGAGGAACCCAUUUGGACCACCACCGUGGCGCACAUAGGACGUCCGGACCCCAGACUGCCGAGUUUAUCCACAUAUCUUGGACUUUUUGUGUGUUUGCUGCUGUUUCUUUUGGCCUUAAUGAUUGUGAUGCUUUACCGGAUGAAACACACAAUCGCCCCGUUACCGUCAGACGUGGAGAGCGCGGGGCAAACGGAGAUGUUUCCUGAGGAUCAUGGGAGCGAAGUAUCCAUAAAUUCUGCUGACUGAUCUCAUCCAACCCUCAUUUGCCUGUUACGUUUGCGGAAGGUCUGUUUGUUGUGUGUGUUUGACAAAAUAUGUGGUUGCAAAACUGGAGUAUAUUAAUAGUAUCUCAAAUGUAAUAUUGCAAUUCUGUUCUGUUUGUCCAAUUAUGAGUAGAGUAUGUGAAUAUGAGUGUGUAUAUGGAUGAAUUUCAUGUGGGGGGUCAUAUUUCACCCCAUAAUGAAAAAGAAAAUAAAUGAUUUAGGACCACUAAUAUGGAAAAAAAACUGUACAACAAUUAAAGCCAUCCUAUGCUGAUACAAGCAUUUUUCGUUAAAUUAGCAUGAAUUAAAUUCAGUUCAGACAAACACUGCCACGAUUUAUAAUUGCUCUUGUACUUGGCAAAUGUAUUUCACUGUUAUCAUGACAAAUUAUGUUGUUUUUUUCUUUAUGUUGACAUUGUUUGAAGAGGAGAACUGGCUCGCCUGGUGUACACUGAAUUGAGUUUUUUGUCUGUUCAACUAAUGUACUGGAAAAUGUGGUAACAUCUAAAAAAGCUGGUUUUGUUGCAAUGAAAUAAAUUGUUUAAGAUUA